Molecule: ribosomal RNA, 426 nt
Filed under: uncultured bacterium
Lineage: Bacteria
Description: bacterial SSU rRNA
Rfam family: Bacterial small subunit ribosomal RNA
Source: RNAcentral
GAGCAACCUGCCUUUCAGAGGGGGAUAACGUUUGGAAACGAACGCUAAUACCGCAUAACAUACCGGGACCGCAUGAUUCUGGUAUCAAAGGAGCAAUCCGCUGAAAGAUGGGCUCGCGUCCGAUUAGCUAGUUGGCGGGGUAACGGCCCACCAAGGCGACGAUCGGUAGCCGGACUGAGAGGUUGAUCGGCCACAUUGGGACUGAGACACGGCCCAGACUCCUACGGGAGGCAGCAGUGGGGGAUAUUGCACAAUGGAGGAAACUCUGAUGCAGCGACGCCGCGUGAGGGAAGACGGUCUUCGGAUUGUAAACCUCUGUCUUUGGGGACGAUAAUGACGGUACCCAAGGAGGAAGCUCCGGCUAACUACGUGCCAGCAGCCGCGGUAAUACGUAGGGAGCGAGCGUUGUCCGGAAUUACUGGGUGU